RNAcentral lists this ribosomal RNA (504 nucleotides) under uncultured bacterium. Its description in RNAcentral is "partial 16S ribosomal RNA". It matches the Rfam family "Bacterial small subunit ribosomal RNA", at positions 30 to 523 of the family's 1533-position model. The record is from RNAcentral.
AUUGAACGCUGGCGGCAGGCCUAACACAUGCAAGUCGAACGGUAGCACAGAGAGCUUGCUCUCGGGUGACGAGUGGCGGACGGGUGAGUAAUGUCUGAGAAACUGCCCGAUGGAGGGGGAUAACUACUGGAAACGGUAGCUAAUACCGCAUAACGUCGCAAGACCAAAGUGGGGGACCUUCGGGCCUCACACCAUCGGAUGUGCCCAGAUGGGAUUGGCUAGUAGGUGGGGUAAUGGCUCACCUAGGCGACGAUCCCUAGCUGGUCUGAGAGGAUGACCAGCCACACUGGAACUGAGACACGGUCCAGACUCCUACGGGAGGCAGCAGUGGGGAAUAUUGCACAAUGGGCGCAAGCCUGAUGCAGCCAUGCCGCGUGUAUGAAGAAGGCCUUCGGGUUGUAAAGUACUUUCAGCGGGGAGGAAGGCGGUGAAGUUAAUAACUUCACCGAUUGACGUUACCCGCAGAAGAAGCACCGGCUAACUCCGUGCCAGCAGCCGCCGUAA